Molecule: ribosomal RNA, 159 nt
Filed under: Fusarium sp.
Lineage: Eukaryota; Fungi; Ascomycota; Sordariomycetes; Hypocreales; Nectriaceae
Description: partial large subunit ribosomal RNA
Rfam family: Eukaryotic large subunit ribosomal RNA
Source: RNAcentral
CGGCAACAGCUCAAAUUUGAAAUCUGCCCGCAAGGGCCGAGUUGUAAUUUGUAGAGGAUACUUUUGAUGCGGUGCCUUCCGAGUUCCCUGGAACGGGACGCCAUAGAGGGUGAGAGCCCCGUCUGGUUGGAUGCCAAAUCUCUGUAAAGUUCCUUCGAC